UCCCUGGUGGUUCAGUGGUUAAGACGCUGAGCUUCCGCUGCAGGGGAUGUGGGUUCAAUUCCUGGCCAGGGAA
Molecule: transfer RNA, 73 nt
Filed under: Ovis aries (sheep)
Lineage: Eukaryota; Metazoa; Chordata; Mammalia; Artiodactyla; Bovidae
Rfam family: tRNA
About the family: Transfer RNA (tRNA) molecules are approximately 80 nucleotides in length. Their secondary structure includes four short double-helical elements and three loops (D, anti-codon, and T loops). Further hydrogen bonds mediate the characteristic L-shaped molecular structure. tRNAs have two regions of fundamental functional importance: the anti-codon, which is responsible for specific mRNA codon recognition, and the 3' end, to which the tRNAs corresponding amino acid is attached (by aminoacyl-tRNA synthetases). tRNAs cope with the degeneracy of the genetic code in two manners: having more than one tRNA (with a specific anti-codon) for a particular amino acid; and 'wobble' base-pairing, i.e. permitting non-standard base-pairing at the 3rd anti-codon position.
Source: Rfam by way of RNAcentral